RNAcentral lists this ribosomal RNA (426 nucleotides) under uncultured bacterium. RNAcentral describes it as "bacterial SSU rRNA". It matches the Rfam family "Bacterial small subunit ribosomal RNA", at positions 356 to 773 of the family's 1533-position model. The record is from RNAcentral.
GAGGAAUAUUGGGCAAUGCCCGCAAGGGUGACCCAGCAACGCCGCGUGGAGGAUGAAUGCCGUAAGGUUGUAAACUCCUGUGAGAAGGGAAGAAUAACUAAGAGAAGAAAAAGCUCUUAGAAUGACUGUACCUUCAGAGGAAGCCCCGGCUAACUACGUGCCAGCAGCCGCGGUAAUACGUAGGGGGCAAGCGUUGUCCGGAUUUACUGGGUGUAAAGGGCGCGUAGGCGGAUUGAUAAGUCAGAGGUGAAAUCCUGCAGCUUAACUGCAGAACUGCCUUUGAUACUGUCAAUCUUGAAUUCGGAAGAGAGAAACGGAAUUCCAGGUGUAGUGGUGAAAUACGUAGAUAUCUGGAAGAACACCAGUAGCGAAGGCGGUUUCUUGGUCCGUAAUUGACGCUGAGGCGCGAAAGCGUGGGUAGCGAAC